GAUGAACGCUAGCUACAGGCUUAACACAUGCAAGUCGAGGGGAAACGACAUCGAAAGCUUGCUUCUGAUGGGCGUCGACCGGCGCACGGGUGAGUAACACGUAUCCAACCUGCCCACCACUUGGGGAUAACCUUGCGAAAGUAAGACUAAUACCCAAUGAUAUCUCUAGAAGACAUCUGAAAGAGAUUAAAGAUUUAUCGGUGAUGGAUGGGGAUGCGUCUGAUUAGCUUGUUGGCGGGGUAACGGCCCACCAAGGCUACGAUCAGUAGGGGUUCUGAGAGGAAGGUCCCCCACAUUGGAACUGAGACACGGUCCAAACUCCUACGGGAGGCAGCAGUGAGGAAUAUUGGUCAAUGGACGGGAGUCUGAACCAGCCAAGUAGCGUGCAGGAUGACGGCCCUAUGGGUUGUAAACUGCUUUUAUAAGGGAAUAAAGUGAGUCUCGUGAGACUUUUUGCAUGUACCUUAUGAAUAAGGACCGGCUAAUUCCGUGCCAGCCGCCGCAGUAA
This 508-nucleotide ribosomal RNA is filed under the name uncultured bacterium. Its description in RNAcentral is "partial 16S ribosomal RNA". It matches the Rfam family "Bacterial small subunit ribosomal RNA", at positions 28 to 523 of the family's 1533-position model. The record is from RNAcentral.